GCCUAAAGCGUCCGUAGCCGGCUUUGUAAGUUUUCGGUUAAAUCUAUAUGCUCAACAUAUAGGCUGCCGGGAAUACUGCAAAGCUAGGGAGUGGGAGAGGUAGACGGUACUCCGUAGGAAGGGGUAAAAUCCUUUGAUCUAUGGAUGACCACCUGUGGCGAAGGCGGUCUACCAGAACACGUUCGACGGUGAGGGAUGAAAGCUGGGGGAGCAAACCGGAUUAGAUACCCGGGUAGUCCCAGCUGUAAACUAUGCAAACUCAGUGAUGCAUUGGCUUGUGGCCAGUGCAGUGCCGCAGGGAAGCCGUUAAGUUUGCCGCCUGGGAAGUACGUACGCAAGUAUGAAACUUAAAGGAAUUGGCGGGGGAGCACCACAAGGGGUGAAGCCUGCGGUUCAAUUGGAGUCAACGCCAGAAAUCUUACCCGGAGAGACAGCAGAAUGAAGGUCAAGUUGAAGCCUUUACCAGACAAGCUGAGAAGUGGUGCAUGGCCGUCGCCAGCUCGUGCCGUGAGGUGUCCUGUUAAGUCAGGUAACGAGCGAGAUCCUUGCCUCUAGUUGCUACCAUUACUCUCAGGAGUAGUGGGGCGAAUUAGCGGGACUGCCGUAGUUAAUACGGAGGAAGGAGAGGGCCACGGCAGGUCAGUAUGCCCCGAA
This 654-nucleotide ribosomal RNA is filed under the name uncultured archaeon. RNAcentral describes it as "bacterial SSU rRNA". It matches the Rfam family "Archaeal small subunit ribosomal RNA", at positions 508 to 1160 of the family's 1478-position model. The record is from RNAcentral.